UCGCCUCUUGACAUACAUAAGAGGUCCAGCCUGCCCAGUGACUAAGUUCAACGGCCGCGGUAUCCUAMCCGUGCGAAGGUAGCGUAAUCACUUGUUCUUUAAAUGAGGACUAGUAUGAAUGGCACCACGAGGGUUAUACUGUCUCCUUUUUUUAAUCAAUGAAACUGAUCUCCCCGUGAAGAAGCGGGGAUAAAUUUAUAAGACGAGAAGACCCUAUGGAGCUUUAAACAAUUAUAGCACUGGCCCACACCUCUUAUUCUCCUGAGAUAUAAUUAUUAUACAGGCCAACAUGACUAUUAGUUUUAGGUUGGGGUGACCGCGGAGCAAAAAUUAMCCUCCACGUUGAACGGAGCUACUCCUGAGCUAAAAACUACAACUUUAAGCACCAAUAAACUGACAUCAAUUGACCCAAUAUAUUGAACAACGAACCAA
Molecule: ribosomal RNA, 432 nt
Filed under: Dendropsophus cf. mathiassoni ABGD cluster 82
Lineage: Eukaryota; Metazoa; Chordata; Amphibia; Anura; Hylidae
Description: partial large subunit ribosomal RNA
Source: RNAcentral